GGGGCCUCAGUUUGUUCGGAAUCAGAUACAACCAUUUGAUCCAUUAUUGUUCGUGGGCAUCAUAUUAAAAAAAAUAUUUUUUGGAUUUUGUAAAGUUUGCGGUUAAUAAGCCGGUGAGAGCUGAUCCUGCAUUUUCUUGACCUCUUUCUCUGUCAGGAGGAUAUUCAAUACCAAGAUUUAUGAUUUGGCAUAAGUGAGAUGACAUACAAGUGAGUUUAAUUCGUGAGAGUGAAAUAGCAACAGUUUUCUUAUCAUACUGCCGGCAGCUGCACCUCAACUGCGGAAAAAGAAAUCUUGAAGAACCAAGACCACCACCAGCUGGAAGAAGGUAAAAAUCCUUUUUUUUCUUCUCCCUCCUCAUUUGAUUUCCAUUUCCUCGCAGCUCUAGGUAAUUUCGUGACCUACCUCUUGGUAAGUCACCUAUCUGCAGAAUGCAUGUAGUGUGUGUGUGUCAGAUAUACAGUGAAAAAACACCACAAUGCAAGUGUCAGAUCCUGUUCUUGGUGCAAUUUUGCCACUAUGUUCUGGACUGUAAGCAACUGCUUCAUGUUAAACUAAAGCUCCAAUCAGGCUUGUGGCUCUUCUGUACCUGUAUGCCUAGAUUAUUUACUAAUGGGAUAUGCACUAGAUCUUCCUGUAUAGAAUCAUCAAUUGCUAGGAAUAGUCAUGGUUUUUAUUAAUUUUUCAUGUUUUUUUAUUUAGUUUGACUUCCACUUAUCUGGUACACUAAAUGAUCUCUAGCUAAUUUUUAACUAUUGAUUAGUACACUGAGAUGAAUUCUAUUGGUCUCAGAGUGCAAGAGAUUUCCUGGAUGCCUCAACUAUAUGCAUACUUGUAUUAUAUUUGACACCCUCAUGAAAUGUACUAGAUGGCGUAUUCUUCCGUGUAGCUUAAAAUUCUUAAAACAAAUGUCCCUAAAAUAGCAAGGUGAAAUCUUGAUUUUUCUUGCUGUGAACAAAUGCAUCAUAAUUAAUUUCCCUUAUUGUAUCAAUAUCAUCACGGGCAUCACUAGCCAUCAGACUACUGAUAGUUCGCAACUAUCAGACCAGUCCAAGGCCGUUGGGUCAGAUGCCGGACGUACGCUCGAUCUGGUAGUCCGCUUGUUUGAUUAGAUGCUUCCAAUCCCUAAUUUGUUGCUGCUUCCUAAUCGCUCCCGCAAUGCACGCCCUGCAUCCCUGCGUCUCUCUCCAUCCCGAAUAUUACUUCCUUGCAUGGUUCCCUCGAAAUCAUGGAAACAUGGCGCCUGAUUCUUUCCAAGUUUGUUUCCUAACGAGUGCUUCCAUAAACCAGGGCGAAAACUACUUCCAGAAAUCACGUGAGUACAUGUUCUUGAUUUUCGCAUGAGGCUAUUUGCUUCCUCAUGAAGCACAUCUUGAUUCCAUUUUUUUAUUUAAAUUUACUUCCAUUCGUGUGGAUGUUCUUUGACAUCAUAAAAAAUGUUUUUCCAGUGUAAUGCAAAAUUAAACUUGCUUCCGUUUAUCAAUGAGUUUGCGCCCAUAGUGAACUAAACUUGCUACGGUUAAUACAUAUUUGUUUUCUACCUAGAGGAUUGCACCACCAAAAUAAGACAUUCUUCCUAUAAAAAUAACCAUUAUCAAGCAUAUUAGGGAUGUGAUUCCAAGAAAUACAAAUAUGCUUUGCUUUCAUCAUCUGAAAAUCAUUCUUCCAACACUACAAACUAUGCUUCAUAAUCCAGUCAUUUUUUUCUCUCAAAGCAGUUUCAUGUGUAUUGUUUUAUUUUUUUAGGUAUGACUCCAUGUGUUAUGACCGCCGUUUUUUGGCUUACUAGAGGUUUAGUUGCUUUGUACAUAGCUUGUAGGAUUCCUGCCUACUAUGUCGCUCCGCAGCUACGGUCCUGUCGAAGCCCCUCCCUGCUCUGCUCCAUCCAUCGUGUCCGGCCUAGCCUCGAUGACUUCUUUUGUCCCACAAAUCUGUGGGUUUUGACAUCGCGAGCCACAAGAGUUGGUGAGGACCAGAGAGGCCAGCACCAUCGAGGGUACGAUGCCCUUGCCCUUGACCUUUGACAGCCGAGUGUGCAUCUUGCUUGUUUGCUUGCAGCACGAUGACAAAACAAUGAGCAAUGAAAUGCUUGAUCUCACGUCGCACGCCAUGCCCCCAUCGACGACCGUGGCAUGCUCACAAUCAGUAAAGCAAGAUCUUUCGCUCAAGUUAGUUCUGCAGGAAUUUAGGAAGCAUGUGUAGUAUGAUUUGGGUACAAACAUGGCGCCUACAAAAUAAUAUGAAACAUGGAAAUGAAGCAAACUAAACAAGGUGUAGAAGCACAGUUGUUAAGUACAUGAAUCAAACCAUACACUAUUAAGAAGCAUAACCAUGGUCCAUAUAUGAAGCAAACUAUGCACCAUGAAGAAGCACAACUAUGAUACAAUUGAAUCAUGAAAACUGGAUACAUCGUAUUCAUGUAAUCUCAACAUAAUUUCUACAUAGUGGAAGCACAUAUAAGAAAAAUGGGGUGCAAAAUAUCUAUGCACAGUCAUUCAAAUUAAGACAAGCGGUGACAUGCAUCUUGUCCAUAAUAUGUGUGAAAUUUAGGAAGCAUGAUUUAGUUGUUCAUUAAAUAAAAACAUGAUGCCUACAAGAACGUGCAAAGGAUUGGCAGAAAGCAGAACUGAACACGACGUAGAAGCACAAGUUUGAUAUGUACGAAGCAAAGUGGACUCAAUGUAGAAGCAUUGGCAUGAUAAAUGAAACAGAGUUUAACCAGCAAUGGUGUAGUAGUACUAUAUGUAUGUAUGAAACAUGAAAAGCUGGAAGCAUUGUACGGAUGCAAUCUCGACAUACUUUCUAUAUAACGAGGAUAGUCAUGAAAAGGUUGGAUGAGGAUGGUAUGGCGGAUUCGCGCGACCAGCAGCGUGUGCUCCCUUCACCAACUUUGAACAUAGACAACAAAGAGGGGAAAAAGAGCGACAAAAAUCUUCUCGCUUCUCACUUAUAUUGCAGCCAAAAUUGAGAAGCACAUGUACAUAUGUACAUACCAAAUUCAGAAAUAUUACUCUGAUUCAGUCAUAUAAUACACAAUGGUGUGGCCAAAAUAAUAAAUGAGUUAUACAAAUACACAAUGGAGGUGUACAAAAUUCAUCAAACAACACUGGUGACAUACAAACAUGUUAGAAAUCAGAGAGGGCUAUAUCAAGAUUUCCCAGAAUUACCUAGGUCAGAUGAGGAUGCUACCUGCAGAGGAGAUGGGGGGCGACUCCAGCAAGGUUCCUCGCAUGAUGGAUUCGUUCGAAAACCGAGACGAAGCUCCGCCACGGUGGCCUUGGACGCCGGGGGAUCCGAAGCAAGUGUAGAUAACCGGGACGACCAUGGACUGCGAGCUCGCUUGUCAUGCUCGACGUGGCUAAUGCUGGCCACCACAAUCGUGUGGGACGACGCACCUGUGAGUUGUGUCUCAUGGGAAUUGGGGAGGCUGGUUCAUGGCGGCGAGAACAAGGGCAGGGCGGCUGGGGACGAGAUUGGCGAGCUCCGGAGCAGGCGACGGGGAUGGGAACGGGUGGGCUUUGGCAGGUGAGAUUAAUGCGGGAGUAGUUAUGGGUGGAAAAUCAGGCUGUUUUGGAAACUAAUCAAAGGAUUUUGGACGCAAUCUCGGCCGUGAGAUGAAAGAAGCACCGACGGUGUGCGAUUCGUCUGACAAACGUCUGCUAUCAUGGUAGGAAGCGUUUCCAGUCAUGGUUUCUGAUUUUCUGUUGUUUGAGUAUGUGAAUAAAUUCACUUUUGGUCCAUUUGCUAACUUGAUGAUUGCCUUCUUAUAGCUCACGAUGGAUCUGUGCAUCAAAGUGUGAUCAGGCAUAAACAUGAAAGAACUAGGAAGCAAACCAUACUUCAUGUGUGCAUUGAGAUGAACUGAUUUUUAGACGCAACAGUAAGUUGUAAAACUGAGAUUAACCUUUUAAAGUUAUAUCUGAUACAUCAGUAGUAGGUUACUUGAAGUAGUCAGCAGCAGUAUUUUUCUUUACAAAAGUUUAGCUAAGCCUGUCAUUGACGUGAGAUUAUGUGGGAUCUUCACUUGUUCUGUAAUUUUUUUUGUACACACAUGUGGGCCUCCUACUUAUAUUAUGCGAUGGAUGUGAUUUGGGGUUGGGGUU
Molecule: non-coding RNA, 4103 nt
Organism: Aegilops tauschii subsp. strangulata
Lineage: Eukaryota; Viridiplantae; Streptophyta; Magnoliopsida; Poales; Poaceae
Source: RefSeq, a predicted model, not a curated record